AUUGAACGCUGGCGGCAGGCCUAACACAUGCAAGUCGAACGGUAACAGGAAGAAGCUUGCUUCUUUGCUGACGCGUGGCGGACGGGUGAGUAAUGUCUGGGAAACUGCCUGAUGGAGGGGGAUAACUACUGGAAACGGUAGCUAAUACCGCAUAACGUCGCAAGACCAAAGAGGGGGACCUUUGGGCCUCUUGCCAUCGGCUGUGCCCAGAUGGGAUUAGCUAGUAGGUGGGGUAACGGCUCACCUAGGCGACGAUCCCUAGCUGGUCUGAGAGGAUGACCAGCCACACUGGAACUGAGACACGGUCCAGACUCCUACGGGAGGCAGCAGUGGGGAAUAUUGCACAAUGGGCGCAAGCCUGAUGCAGCCAUGCCGCGUGUAUGAAGAAGGCCUUCGGGUUGUAAAGUACUUUCAGCGGGGAGGAAGGGAGUAAAGUUAAUACCUUUGCUCAUUGACGUUACCCGCAGAAGAAGCACCGGCUAACUCCGUG
RNAcentral lists this ribosomal RNA (490 nucleotides) under uncultured bacterium. RNAcentral's name for it is "partial 16S ribosomal RNA". It matches the Rfam family "Bacterial small subunit ribosomal RNA", at positions 30 to 507 of the family's 1533-position model. The record is from RNAcentral.